Molecule: ribosomal RNA, 429 nt
Filed under: Pseudomonadota bacterium
Lineage: Bacteria; Pseudomonadati; Pseudomonadota
Description: Proteobacteria bacterium partial 16S ribosomal RNA
Rfam family: Bacterial small subunit ribosomal RNA
Source: RNAcentral
UGGGGAAUAUUGGACAAUGGGCGAAAGCCUGAUCCAGCCAUGCCGCGUGUGUGAAGAAGGUCUUCGGAUUGUAAAGCACUCUAAGUUGGGAGGAAGGGCAGUAAGCGAAUACCUUGCUGUUUUGACGUUACCGACAGAAUAAGCACCGGCUAACUCUGUGCCAGCAGCCGCGGUAAUACAGAGGGUGCAAGCGUUAAUCGGAAUUACUGGGCGUAAAGCGCGCGUAGGUGGUUCGUUAAGUUGAAUGUGAAAGCCCCGGGCUCAACCUGGGAACUGGAUCCAAAACUGGCGAGCUAGAGUAGGGCAGAGGGUGGUGGAAUUUCCUGUGUAGCGGUGAAAUGCGUAGAUAUAGGAAGGAACACCAGUGGCGAAGGCGACCACCUGGGCUCAUACUGACACUGAGGUGCGAAAGCGUGGGGAGCAAACAGG